CCUACGGGAGGCUGCAGUGGGGAAUAUUGGGCAAUGGGCGCAAGCCUGACCCAGCAACGCCGCGUGAAGGAAGAAGGCUUUCUGGUUGUAAACUUCUUUUCUUAGGGACGAAAAACGUGACGGUCCCGCAGGACUACGCCACGCCUAACUACGGGCCAGCGGCCGCGGUAAUACGUAGGUGGCAAGCGUUAUCCGGAUUUAUUGGGUGUAAAGGGCGUGUAGGCGGGAAGGCAAGUCAGAUGUGAAAACUCAGGGCUCAACCCUGAGCCUGCAUUUGAAACUGUUUUUCUUGAGUGCUGGAGAGGCAAUCGGAAUUCCGUGUGUAGCGGUGAAAUGCGUAGAUAUACGGAGGAACACCAGUGGCGAAGGCGGAUUGCUGGACAGUAACUGACGCUGAGGCGCGAAAGCGUGGGGAGCAAACAGGAUUAGAUACCCCUGUAGUC
This 443-nucleotide ribosomal RNA is filed under the name uncultured bacterium. RNAcentral describes it as "partial 16S ribosomal RNA". It matches the Rfam family "Bacterial small subunit ribosomal RNA", at positions 338 to 795 of the family's 1533-position model. The record is from RNAcentral.